GUGAGACAGAGCAGGUCAAUGAUGACUCCCAGGACUGGGGCCUGAGCACCCAGCAGGAUGGCAGUGCCGUUUCCUGAGAUGGGCAAGGCAAGUUCGGGAUCGGGGGAAGAUCAGGACUUCGGAUUGGGGCAUGUUUAAAGGUGCCCAGUGGUGGCAUGUUGAGGAGGCUGUGGUUGGAGACACAGGUCCAGGGGAGACAUCUGGCCCAGGAUAUACCUUUGUCACAAUGAAAAAGCAUCAACUUGUGGAGAGAGACUUGCCCAAGUGGAACCCUGAACUUCAGGCAGGAGCUUCCCAUCUUGGCCAAAGCACAGCCUUCUUCGACACAGAUGAGAAAACUGAGGCACAGAGAGUUUGACCUACCCUAGUGAGAUACCAAACCGGGAUAUGUAUCAAAAACUAAUUGCCCAGGAAGAGGUGGGCUUCCCUGGUGGCUUCCUGCCAAUGCAGGAGACACAGGUUUGAUCCCUGAUCUGGGACGAUCCAGCAUGCCAUGGACCAACUAAACCCGUGCACCACAACUUCUGAGCCUGUGCUCUAGAGACCAGAGCCGCAACUACUGAAGCCCGAGCACCUAGAGCCCGUGCUCUGCAACAAGA
This is a long non-coding RNA of Dama dama (fallow deer), 599 nucleotides long. RefSeq lists it as uncharacterized. Lineage: Eukaryota; Metazoa; Chordata; Mammalia; Artiodactyla; Cervidae. The record is from RefSeq and is a predicted model, not a curated record. The transcript is spliced from 3 exons.